CACAUGCAAGUCGAACGGUAACAGGCCGCUGGGGAUCCCUUCGGGGUGACCUUGGCGCUGACGAGUGGCGGACGGGUGAGUAAUGCGUAGGAAUUUGCCUCAAAGUGGGGGACAGCCCGAAGAAAUUCGGAUUAAUACCGCAUGUGCUCUACGGAGGAAAGCGGGCCUCUACUUGUAAGCUCGCGCUUUGAGAUAAGCCUACGUCGGAUUAGCUUGUUGGUGGGGUAAAGGCCUACCAAGGCGACGAUCCGUAGCUGGUCUGAGAGGAUGAUCAGCCACACUGGGACUGAGACACGGCCCAGACUCCUACGGGAGGCAGCAGUGGGGAAUAUUGGACAAUGGGGGCAACCCUGAUCCAGCAAUGCCGCGUGUGUGAAGAAGGCCUGCGGGUUGUAAAGCACUUUCAGUAGAGAAGAAAAGCCUAGGGUUAAUAACCCUGAGUCUUGACGUAACCUACAGAAGAAGCACCGGCUAACUCCGUG
Molecule: ribosomal RNA, 482 nt
Filed under: uncultured bacterium
Lineage: Bacteria
Description: bacterial SSU rRNA
Rfam family: Bacterial small subunit ribosomal RNA
Source: RNAcentral